This 250-nucleotide small RNA is filed under the name Pongo abelii (Sumatran orangutan). Its description in RNAcentral is "processed transcript". The record is from RNAcentral. Lineage: Eukaryota; Metazoa; Chordata; Mammalia; Primates; Hominidae.
GAUACCUGUCCCAGCUGAAGGACGCCCACAGGUCCCAUCCCUUCAUCAAGGAGUACCAGGCCAAGGCUGGUGCUACAGUACGCUCCCAGCGCCUGAGGCUGGCUCAGAGCUGUCAGGACCACGAAGCCAGGACAGAGGCCAGGAGCCCUGCAGCCCUUCCCACCUGGCAUCCACCCCUCUGGGGGCAGGAGCCCACCCUCAGCACCCCCAUCUGUUAAUAAAUAUCUCAACUCCAGGGUGUUCCACCUGA